AGUAAAAUCAGCUAACUAAGCUUUCGGGCCCAUACCCCGGCAAUGAAGGUUAAACCCCUUCUUUUACUA
This 69-nucleotide transfer RNA is filed under the name Dendrophysa russelii (goatee croaker). RNAcentral describes it as "tRNA-Met". It matches the Rfam family "tRNA". Rfam says of the family: Transfer RNA (tRNA) molecules are approximately 80 nucleotides in length. Their secondary structure includes four short double-helical elements and three loops (D, anti-codon, and T loops). Further hydrogen bonds mediate the characteristic L-shaped molecular structure. tRNAs have two regions of fundamental functional importance: the anti-codon, which is responsible for specific mRNA codon recognition, and the 3' end, to which the tRNAs corresponding amino acid is attached (by aminoacyl-tRNA synthetases). tRNAs cope with the degeneracy of the genetic code in two manners: having more than one tRNA (with a specific anti-codon) for a particular amino acid; and 'wobble' base-pairing, i.e. permitting non-standard base-pairing at the 3rd anti-codon position. The record is from RNAcentral. Lineage: Eukaryota; Metazoa; Chordata; Actinopteri; Sciaenidae.